AGUGGUAUAGCUCAGUGGUAGAGCAUGUGCUUAGCAUGCACAAGGUCCUGGGUUCAAUUCCCAGUACCUCCA
Molecule: transfer RNA, 72 nt
Filed under: Camelus bactrianus (Bactrian camel)
Lineage: Eukaryota; Metazoa; Chordata; Mammalia; Artiodactyla; Camelidae
Also listed under: 2 other names
Rfam family: tRNA
About the family: Transfer RNA (tRNA) molecules are approximately 80 nucleotides in length. Their secondary structure includes four short double-helical elements and three loops (D, anti-codon, and T loops).
Source: Rfam by way of RNAcentral